RNAcentral lists this ribosomal RNA (253 nucleotides) under uncultured bacterium. Its description in RNAcentral is "partial 16S ribosomal RNA". It matches the Rfam family "Bacterial small subunit ribosomal RNA", at positions 524 to 776 of the family's 1533-position model. The record is from RNAcentral.
UACGGAGGAUGCAAGCGUUAUCCGGAAUUAUUGGGCGUAAAGCGUCCGCAGGUGGUACAUCAAGUCUGCUGUCAAAGACCGGAGCUCAACUCCGGGCAGGCAGUGGAAACUGGUGAACUAGAGUACGGUAGGGGUAGAGGGAAUUCCCAGUGUAGCGGUGAAAUGCGUAGAGAUUGGGAAGAACACCAGUGGCGAAGGCGCACUACUGGGCCGUAACGGACACUCAGGGACGAAAGCUAGGGGAGCGAAAGGG